UACGUAGGGGGCGAGCGUUGUCCGGAAUCAUUGGGCGUAAAGCGCGUGUAGGCGGCCGACCAAGUCCGGUGUGAAAGCUCAGGGCUCAACCCUGAGUCUGCACUGGAAACUGGCCGGCUUGAGUCCGGAAGAGGAGACUGGAAUUCCUGGUGUAGCGGUGAAAUGCGCAGAUAUCAGGAAGAACACCGGUGGCGAAGGCGGGUCUCUGGGACGGUACUGACGCUGAGACGCGAAAGCGUGGGGAGCAAACAGGAUUAGAUACCCUGGUAGUCCACGCCGUAAACGAUGGGCACUAGGUGUGGGAGGUGUCGACUCCUUCCGUGCCGUAGCUAACGCAUUAAGUGCCCCGCCUGGGGAGUACGGCCGCAAGGCUAAA
RNAcentral lists this ribosomal RNA (376 nucleotides) under uncultured bacterium. RNAcentral describes it as "bacterial SSU rRNA". It matches the Rfam family "Bacterial small subunit ribosomal RNA", at positions 524 to 898 of the family's 1533-position model. The record is from RNAcentral.